AGAGCGAACGCUGGCGGCAGGCCUAACACAUGCAAGUCGAGCGCCCGUAGCAAUACGGGAGCGGCAGACGGGAUAGUAACACGUGGGAACGCGCCCUUCGGUUCGGAAUAACUCAGGGAAACUUGAGCUAAUACCGGAUACGCCCUUACGGGGAAAGAUUUAUUGCCGAAGGAACGGCCCGCGUCCGAUUAGCUAGUUGGUGAGGUAAUGGCUCACCAAGGCGACGAUCGGUAGCUGGUCUGAGAGGAUGACCAGCAUCACUGGGACUGAGACACGGCCCAGACUCCUACGGGAGGCAGCAGUGGGGAAUAUGGACAAUGGCGCAAGCCUGAUCCAGCCAUGCCGCGUGGAUGAUGAAGGCCUUAGGGUUGUAAAGUCCGUUUUAACGGGGAAGAUAAUGACGGUACCCGUAGAAUAAGCCCCGGCUAACUUCGUGCCAGCAGCCGC
Molecule: ribosomal RNA, 447 nt
Filed under: uncultured bacterium
Lineage: Bacteria
Description: SSU rRNA
Rfam family: Bacterial small subunit ribosomal RNA
Source: RNAcentral